RNAcentral lists this ribosomal RNA (505 nucleotides) under uncultured bacterium. RNAcentral describes it as "partial 16S ribosomal RNA". It matches the Rfam family "Bacterial small subunit ribosomal RNA", at positions 28 to 507 of the family's 1533-position model. The record is from RNAcentral.
GACGAACGCUGGCGGCGUGCCUAAUACAUGCAAGUAGAACGCACAGUUUAUACCGUAGCUUGCUACACCAUAGACUGUGAGUUGCGAACGGGUGAGUAACGCGUAGGUAACCUGCCUGGUAGCUGGGGAUAACUAUUGUAAACUAUAGCUAAUACCGCAUAAUAUUAAUUAUUGCAUGAUAAUUAAUUGAAAGGUGCAAUUGCACCACUACCAGAUGGACCUGCUUUGUAUUAGCUAGUAGGUGAGGUAACGGCUCACCUAGGCGACGAUACAUAGCCGACCUGAGAGGGUGAUCUGCCAAAAUGGGACUGAGACACGGCCCAGACUCCUACGGGAGGCAGCAGUAGGGAAUCUUCGGCAAUGGACGAAAGUCUGAACGAGCAACGCCGCGUGAGUGAAGAAGGUUUUCGGAUCGUAAAGCUCUGUUGUAAGAGAAGAACGGGUGUGAGAGUGGAAAGUUCACACUGUGACGGUAUCUUACCAGAAAGGGACGGCUAACUACGUG